AGUGAACGCUGGCGGUAGGCCUAACACAUGCAAGUCGAACGGCAGCACAGUAAGAGCUUGCUCUUACGGGUGGCGAGUGGCGGACGGGUGAGGAAUACAUCGGAAUCUACUUUUUCGUGGGGGAUAACGUAGGGAAACUUACGCUAAUACCGCAUACGACCUACGGGUGAAAGCAGGGGAUCUUCGGACCUUGCGCGAUUGAAUGAGCCGAUGUCGGAUUAGCUAGUUGGCGGGGUAAAGGCCCACCAAGGCGACGAUCCGUAGCUGGUCUGAGAGGAUGAUCAGCCACACUGGAACUGAGACACGGUCCAGACUCCUACGGGAGGCAGCAGUGGGGAAUAUUGGACAAUGGGCGCAAGCCUGAUCCAGCUAUACCGCGUGGGUGAAGAAGGCCUUCGGGUUGUAAAGCUCUUUUGUUGGGAAAGAAAAGCAGCAGGUUAAUACCCCGCUGUUCUGACGGUACCCAAAGAAUAAGCACCGGCUAACUUCGUG
RNAcentral lists this ribosomal RNA (492 nucleotides) under uncultured bacterium. RNAcentral describes it as "partial 16S ribosomal RNA". It matches the Rfam family "Bacterial small subunit ribosomal RNA", at positions 29 to 507 of the family's 1533-position model. The record is from RNAcentral.